ACGGUAACAGGUCUUCGGAUGCUGACGAGUGGCGAACGGGUGAGUAAUACAUCGGAACGUGCCCGAUCGUGGGGGAUAACGAAGCGAAAGCUUUGCUAAUACCGCAUACGAUCUACGGAUGAAAGCAGGGGACCGCAAGGCCUUGCGCGAACGGAGCGGCCGAUGGCAGAUUAGGUAGUUGGUGGGAUAAAAGCUUACCAAGCCGACGAUCUGUAGCUGGUCUGAGAGGACGACCAGCCACACUGGGACUGAGACACGGCCCAGACUCCUACGGGAGGCAGCAGUGGGGAAUUUUGGACAAUGGGCGAAAGCCUGAUCCAGCCAUGCCGCGUGCAGGAUGAAGGCCUUCGGGUUGUAAACUGCUUUUGUACGGAACGAAAAGACUCUGGUUAAUACCUGGGGUCCAUGACGGUACCGUAAGAAUAAGCACCGGCUAACUACGUGCCAGCAGCCGCGGUAAUACGUAGGGUGCAAGCGUUAAUCGGAAUUACUGGGCGUAAAGCGUGCGCAGGCGGUUAUAUAAGACAGAUGUGAAAUCCCCGGGCUCAACCUGGGAACUGCAUUUGUGACUGUAUAGCUAGAGUACGGCAGAGGGGGAUGGAAUUCCGCGUGUAGCAGUGAAAUGCGUAGAUAUGCGGAGGAACACCGAUGGCGAAGGCAAUCCCCUGGGCCUGUACUGACGCUCAUGC
RNAcentral lists this ribosomal RNA (689 nucleotides) under Acidovorax temperans. Its description in RNAcentral is "bacterial SSU rRNA". It matches the Rfam family "Bacterial small subunit ribosomal RNA", at positions 66 to 752 of the family's 1533-position model. Lineage: Bacteria; Pseudomonadati; Pseudomonadota; Betaproteobacteria; Burkholderiales; Comamonadaceae. The record is from RNAcentral.